UACAUGCAAGUCGAGCGGACAGAAGGGAGCUUGCUCCCGGAUGUUAGCGGCGGACGGGUGAGUAACACGUGGGUAACCUGCCUGUAAGACUGGGAUAACUCCGGGAAACCGGAGCUAAUACCGGAUAGUUCCUUGAACCGCAUGGUUCAAGGAUGAAAGACGGUUUCGGCUGUCACUUACAGAUGGACCCGCGGCGCAUUAGCUAGUUGGUGAGGUAACGGCUCACCAAGGCGACGAUGCGUAGCCGACCUGAGAGGGUGAUCGGCCACACUGGGACUGAGACACGGCCCAGACUCCUACGGGAGGCAGCAGUAGGGAAUCUUCCGCAAUGGACGAAAGUCUGACGGAGCAACGCCGCGUGAGUGAUGAAGGUUUUCGGAUCGUAAAGCUCUGUUGUUAGGGAAGAACAAGUGCAAGAGUAACUGCUUGCACCUUGACGGUACCUAACCAGAAAGCCACGGCUAACUACGUGCCAGCAGCCGCGGUAAUACGUAGGUGGCAAGCGUUGUCCGGAAUUAUUGGGCGUAAAGGGCUCGCAGGCGGUUUCUUAAG
This 552-nucleotide ribosomal RNA is filed under the name Bacillus aerophilus. Its description in RNAcentral is "bacterial SSU rRNA". It matches the Rfam family "Bacterial small subunit ribosomal RNA", at positions 52 to 587 of the family's 1533-position model. The record is from RNAcentral. Lineage: Bacteria; Bacillati; Bacillota; Bacilli; Caryophanales; Bacillaceae.